This 111-nucleotide small RNA is filed under the name Marmota monax (woodchuck). The record is from RNAcentral. Lineage: Eukaryota; Metazoa; Chordata; Mammalia; Rodentia; Sciuridae.
GCCAGGGACGGUGAUGUGUGCCUGUGGCCCCAGCUACUUGGCAGAGGGAGGAGGAUCACUUGAGCCCAGGAGUUGGAAGCAGCCUGGGCAGUGCAGCGGGACCCCCCUCAG